CACGCCGUAAACGAUGAGUGCUAAGUGUUAGAGGGGUCACACCCUUUAGUGCUGUAGCUAACGCGAUAAGCACUCCGCCUGGGGAGUACGGCCGCAAGGCUGAAACUCAAAGGAAUUGACGGGGGCCCGCACAAGCGGUGGAGCAUGUGGUUUAAUUCGAAGCAACGCGAAGAACCUUACCAGGUCUUGACAUCCCCUGACAACCCAAGAGAUUGGGCGUUCCCCCUUCGGGGGGACAGGGUGACAGGUGG
RNAcentral lists this ribosomal RNA (251 nucleotides) under uncultured Geobacillus sp. Its description in RNAcentral is "partial 16S ribosomal RNA". It matches the Rfam family "Bacterial small subunit ribosomal RNA", at positions 796 to 1041 of the family's 1533-position model. The record is from RNAcentral. Lineage: Bacteria; Bacillati; Bacillota; Bacilli; Caryophanales; Anoxybacillaceae.